This 513-nucleotide ribosomal RNA is filed under the name uncultured bacterium. RNAcentral describes it as "partial 16S ribosomal RNA". It matches the Rfam family "Bacterial small subunit ribosomal RNA", at positions 28 to 523 of the family's 1533-position model. The record is from RNAcentral.
GACGAACGCUGGCGGCGUGCCUAAUACAUGCAAGUAGAACGCUGAAGAGAGGAGCUUGCUCUUCUUGGAAGAGUUGCGAACGGGUAAGUAACGCGUAGGUAACCUGCCUUGUAGCGGGGGAUAACUAUUGGAAACGAUAGCUAAUACCGCAUAACAAUGGAUGACCCAUGUCAUUUAUUUGAAAGGGGCAACUGCUCCACUACAAGAUGGACCUGCGUUGUAUUAGCUAGUAGGUGAGGUAACGGCUCACCUAGGCGACGAUACAUAGCCGACCUGAGAGGGUGAUCGGCCACACUGGGACUGAGACACGGCCCAGACUACUACGGGAGGCAGCAGUAAGGAAUCUUCGGCAAUGGGGGCAACCCUGACCGAGCAACGCCGCGUGAGUGAAGAAGGUUUUCGGAUCGUAAAGCUCUGUUGUAAGUCAAGAACGAGUGUGAGAGUGGAAAGUUCACACUGUGACGGUAGCUUACCAGAAAGGGACGGCUAACUACGUGCCAGCCGCCGCAGUAA